This 707-nucleotide ribosomal RNA is filed under the name uncultured soil bacterium. Its description in RNAcentral is "bacterial SSU rRNA". It matches the Rfam family "Bacterial small subunit ribosomal RNA", at positions 17 to 699 of the family's 1533-position model. The record is from RNAcentral.
UCCUGGCUCAGAGCGAACGCUGGCGGCGUACUUAACACAUGCAAGUCGAACGAGGAUCAUCGGUGUAGCAAUACAUCGCUGGUCCUAGUGGCGCACGGGUGAGUAACACGUGGGUAACCUGCCCUUGAGUUCGGGAUACCCCCUCGAAAGGGGGGCUAAUACCGGAUACGUUCCUCGGAUCGACAGGUCUGGGGAGGAAAGGUGGCGCAAGCUGCCGCUCUUGGAGGGGCUCGCGGCCUAUCAGCUAGUUGGCGGGGUAACGGCCCACCAAGGCUAUGACGGGUAGCUGGUCUGAGAGGACGACCAGUCACACGGGGACUGAGACACGGCCCCGACUCCUACGGGAGGCAGCAGUGGGGAAUUUUCCGCAAUGGGCGAAAGCCUGACGGAGUGACGCCGCGUGUGGGACGAAGGCCUUCGGGUCGUAAACCACUGUCAGUGGGAAAGAAGGGUGUCGGCGCUAAUACCGCCGGCACUUGACGGUACCUGCAGAGGAAGCCCCGGCCAACUCUGUGCCAGCAGCCGCGGUAAGACAGAGGGGGCAAGCGUUGCUCGGAAUUACUGGGCGUAAAGGGCGCGUAGGCGGGAUGGCAAGUCGGUCGUGAAAUCCUUCGGCUCAACCGAAGAACGUCGAUCGAUACUGCUGUUCUUGAGGAUUGCAGAGGAGACUGGAAUUCCCGGUGUAGCGGUGAAAUGUGUAGAGAUCG